This 2130-nucleotide unclassified non-coding RNA is filed under the name Hevea brasiliensis (rubber tree). The record is from RNAcentral. Lineage: Eukaryota; Viridiplantae; Streptophyta; Magnoliopsida; Malpighiales; Euphorbiaceae.
GAGAGAGAGAGAGAGAGAGAACAGUAAUGACCACCCACUACCACCAUCCUCAAAGUAUCCAUACCAAACCACCAUUGCCAAAACAAAUAGAAGGAAACUCAAUUGAAGAAGCAAAAUGGUACAGCAAGAAAAAACUAUGAAAAAGAAGCAAAACAACUAACCUCUCACCUCAAAUUCCGCUGGUUGAUUGAAAGAGCAAUUACCGAAUGGAAAAGAAAAACAAAGCUAAAAAAUAUAAAGGAAUUGCUACAAUGGGCAUGGCAUCACAAUAGGAAAACGUCAUUUUUCCUACUGCACGUUGCAAAAGAAAGAGGAACACAGUCGGCUUCAUGGAAAACAAAGGCAUGAGCUCUGGUUCGGCCAAACAAAAAGAAGAACAGAAAAGCAGAGGUCUGGUUUGCCAAGACAAGAAGAAUAAGGCAAUUUGCUAAGCCAAAUAAAAACGAUGUCACUUUGGCAAUGAAAGAAUUUGACCCUCUUUUUUGCUAAAAUUACAAAAUGCUCAAAAUUUCUACCAGUCCAAGAACAGUACAAAUUGUGGGUUGUACUUUAUAUAAUUUAUAUGUAUUGUGCAUAUCAUAUGGCAUUGUCAACAUUUCACUUUUUUAUUUAAUUUGAAAGAUACCAUUCCAUCUAGCCCUUACUGGUUCUAGUUUCAGCUAGCACAUCUCACACAUAAAGCCAACACCAAAAGGUAGGAAAAAUUUUCUAAAAAGCCCUCAAGGCCAUGAUUAUAUUGCAUAUAUACAAAAUUCAAAAGGAAAAAGAAAAGCAUAAAGUAAUAUGAGACUGCAACAUGGUCUUUAACAGCACAUAAGAUUGAAAAAAAAGACACAAGAGCGCCAAAGCAACACAGAAAAUGACAAAGAAAACACAUAAAAACUAAGAAAAAAAAAAGAUUUUGCAAAUAAAAAAUUGCAUUGCGACAAGCAAUAUUCUACUAAUAGCAAAUACUUCAACCUCAAAUCACAUUAGAAAGAGGCUAGAAAAACCAAGUAAAACUUUGCCACCAACAAAGAAGCAUCCUUAUUGCCUCAAAUUCUAGAGCAAAGAAAAAGGCAAAGAAAAACUAAAGAAAAAAUCACAAAUUAAGAACAUGCAAAUAACUUUACAAAUGUCAGAACAAAACCAGCAAACUACAAAAGCACGAAUAAGCUCACCUAAACAACUCAAGACAUAUCCUCGAGCUUAGAUUAUAAAGGUAUAAUAUCUAAAUCAAUCAUAGAAGGAAAUAGAUGGGAAGAAAACAUAGAAGGAAUCCAUUUAUGUAAUCUGUAAACUGAAAUAUGUGCAGCAAUAAUCUGUACACUGUAAUCUGUAGAAGGAAGGAUGGGGGAAUAGAUUGGGAAGAACACAUAGAAGUAAAUACAAUCAACUUCUCAACUCUCAAGUCAUAUUAUGUAAUCUGUAAACUGAAAUGUGUGCAGCAAUAAUAUCUAAAAGGCAGUAAGGAAAACAAAUGUCAAAAAUAAUCAAUGCAAAUAUGAUAAAAAGUAAAAUCAAUUAGGCUGGUGGUAUUUUUGAUUUAAAUUGUCAAAGCAGUGCCCAAUUUCUACAAAUAGAGAACCUUGUAAGAGAAACUCAGAUAUCAAUCUCCAAAAUAAUCCUGUAUUUUGUAUGUAAAAAAAUGCAGAUCACAGUCUGUAAUGAUCAAUUACCAUAUUUAGUCCAUCAAAUAAGGCAUCUUGAGCAGUAAGCCAUAUCAAAUGAACUUGAUGGGAAAGGAAGGCAUUGUGCAGCAAUGAUUCUUGGAACUGCAAGAAAUCCACAUACCAAUGCAAACUGGGCUUGAGCCACAUGAUCAUCUCUUGAAGCAAGAGGAAUAGUCAGGAUUCCCCUAUCUAUAGAUCACCACCUUAAACUGUAGCCUAGAUACGAACACAAAUACAUCAAAUCCACAAAUUGAAUUACACAGCAAUGAUGGCUACAUUUGCAUCAAAUUUAUUUGAUGUAUUCCAAAAAGAGGGACAGCUCAAAACAGUCUACGGGGAAAGAAUUAAUUGCCCCGAAAACAUUUCAUUUCAAUUAUUUGCAUCAAAGCAAAAUGACCCUCUUAGCUCUUAAGGAUGUCAUAAUUCCAUCGGUUUUAUCUGAUGGAUUCCGGUAAAAAAGGAAUUAAUACAAGAUGUC